CGCGUAGGCGGCUGUGGCAGUCGGGUGUGAAAGCCCGGAGCUCAACUCCGGAAUUGCACUCGAGACGCCACGGCUGGAGGCCGGAAGAGGAGGGUGGAAUACCCAGUGUAGAGGUGAAAUUCGUAGAUAUUGGGUGGAACACCGGUGGCGAAAGCGGCUCUCUGGUCCGGACCUGACGCUGAGGCGCGAAAGCGUGGGGAGCAAACA
This 207-nucleotide ribosomal RNA is filed under the name uncultured bacterium. RNAcentral's name for it is "partial 16S ribosomal RNA". It matches the Rfam family "Bacterial small subunit ribosomal RNA", at positions 568 to 774 of the family's 1533-position model. The record is from RNAcentral.